Vicia villosa (hairy vetch) is the source of this 1748-nucleotide long non-coding RNA. RefSeq lists it as uncharacterized. The transcript has 3 exons. The record is from RefSeq and is a predicted model, not a curated record. NCBI's taxonomy places the organism in Eukaryota, Viridiplantae, Streptophyta, Magnoliopsida, Fabales, Fabaceae.
CAAAAGAAGAAGAUAAACGAAAUUGGGAAAUUAGGGUUUUACCUGUUGCGACUCCUCAGCUUAACAUCGCUCUCGCCUCUCUCACUCUCCUUCAACAACGACGACGGCGGCGACUCAGACUUCUUCUCCGAUGAAUUCUCUUCGGUCACGCUCCCCUCUCGUGUAUCUCAACUCGAUGCAAUCACGAACGGAUGACUAGUUUAUGCGAUGGAGAUGAUGAACGUUGUUGUUGUGGGCACAGAUUCGGGAUGAGUGUCAUGGAGAUUGUUGAAUCGUAUUUGCGAUGAGAACGAAGACGCGACAAAGAUUGAAGUGUUGAUGAUGCGUUUGGUUGAUGAGGUUCUGAGACGAUUGAUUGAGGUUACCGAGAAUUCGAGGGACUCAAAUGAUUGGAGAUAUGUUUGAUUGAAGGUGAGAGCAAUGGAGUAUUGGGAGAUGAUUCAGAGAUUGAACAACUUAAGAUGAUGACGAUGGGGGUCGCAGAGGUGAAACGGGUGAAGGUUCUGGUGUGUGAAGUGAGGAUUGGUGAUGAGAGUGAAUGAAGAAGAUGGGGGAAGAAAAUGGAGGAGCUUGCAGAGAAAGAUGAGAGAAGUGAAGGUGAUGAUGAAUGAAGAAUCGAGGGAGAAGAAGAAAUAGUGCAGAGUGGAAGAUAUGAUUUUUGGAAGAUGAAUUGGAGAGGGAAAAUGAUGAAUUGAGAGAGGGGAAUCUGAGAAUGGUGAAGAAAAUGGGGUGAGUGAACAAAAAUGGUGGAGGAAAAAAUGGAGGCUUGAACAGAGUGGUGGCUGAAGAUUAUAUAGAGGUUCAAAGGUGGUAUUUUUGUAUUGCAGGACUGCUGUUAACGACGUAUCAUUGUGUCGGCUCGCAACACGUUCGCCUCUGGUCUGGCAGCAAGUAUAUAGCAUGAAUGGAGGUCUUGUAAUGGCUGUAUGAUGCUAAAUUGUGAUAGUUGCAGCAAGUUUUAUUGUUUUUUUUCUUUUUUUGAACAUGUAGAAUUUUGGACUUUAGGAGUUAAUUCAAGGUGUAAUGAACACUGUGAUGGAUUGUAAUGUGCUCCAACUGUGAAAACUCUCUUGUAAUUGGAUUGAAAUAAGUCUUUGAAAUGUAUUGAAUUUGUAAUGCAAGGUUAUCCUUCUCAAACAUGAAGUCUGAACAUGUAUUUUUUUUCUUUCCAAAAUUCAAGUUCUCUUUUGGUUUUGUUGAAUGAUGUUCUUCUUGUGAGCUUGACUUGAAUAACAAAAAACCACAUGAAUUGACCUUGGCUUGCUCGAUCACAUUUAGAAGCUAGAUUAAAUAUUUGAACAUGAAUGAACUUCUUGAUGGGCUUCUAACUUUAAUUCUCAACAUUUGAGUCAACUUGCAAUUGAAGCAACCCUGAUGAGAAUAAAAUUUAUCUUGAUAGAAAGGAAAUCCACCAACAUCUCUUCUGACAAUACUUUGUAUGCAAUCAAAUAAGCCUCCUACCAAUUUCGGAACUAAUCCGUACAUAGAAAUCCUUAAUCAUAAGAAGAAACAUCUGGCCAUUAAUUCAUCUCCUGAUAAAGUAUAAAGCUUUUUUUUUUGAAGAAAUAAAUAAGCUUGUACCAAAAUCUAUAUGAGACCAUGAUUUGUUUCAUGAUCCUUGAUCCCUUGUCAAUGUUAUUGAUUAAAUGAAUGCAUGAGUGUUAGAUGACCUAAUGAAGGUAUGCAAAUGAAUGUGAAACUUAAGCCAAUUAUAAAUAAAUUAAGAUGGGCAAAUUUUGGGGUGCAAC